GCCAGCUUCACAGACGGAGAAGCAAAAGAUUAUUCCUGAGACUUGGCCCAGCUCUGCUGGAGAUGGACCAAGAGAUGACAACUGAUGUGCUUCAGAAUAGCCCAUAGUGAUCAAGUCCCUGGUCCCCAUCAGUCAGAGGCCUGAAGCCAGUGCCAGCAUUGCAACGAAGACCUGGCAUCAUGGAGCCCACAGGCCCAGGUGGCAGCACUCGGCUGGACCUGAGGAGUGGCUGCCAGUCUUCCAGGGGGCGGAUGUGCACCAGUCAGCCAUGUCGCACCUCGGCCUGCCUCAUUGUCCUCCCUGGCCCCCAUAGGAAUUGGAGCCUGUGGUCCAGAUCCAGCCCAUUCCAAAUGCACCUCAUCCCGUUCACCCCCAAACCCACCAGGCUUCUCUCAUCUGUUCCUUAAGCAUGCCAAGUUCUCUGCCACCCCCAGGGCCUUUGCACAUGCGCCGCUGCCUGGACUGCUCGCUCCCUGAAGCCUUCUAUGGCUUAGAUAGGUUUCUGCUUAAAUAUCAUCUCCUUCGCACGACUCUCUGACACUCUGUUCUUUUCUUCUUUCCCUUCGUUGUUUCUUUAUCUUUUCGUCUUCUUUACUCCUUCCUUCUUUCUCUUCCCCCUUUUCCUCUCUCCUUCUUCCCUCUCUCCCUCCUUCCCUCCUUCCUAUUGUUUUCUCCACAGCAUCAUUAUCAGAGGCACUGAAAGUGUAUGUUUCCAUUCGUGUUAGCCCACUAAGGAAACAACUAUCCCCGUCUGCCCACUCACAUUUGUCUUUUCUGACUAAUAAAACCAAAAAUUCCA
Molecule: long non-coding RNA, 799 nt
Organism: Diceros bicornis minor
Lineage: Eukaryota; Metazoa; Chordata; Mammalia; Perissodactyla; Rhinocerotidae
Exons: 2
Source: RefSeq, a predicted model, not a curated record